This 486-nucleotide ribosomal RNA is filed under the name uncultured bacterium. RNAcentral describes it as "bacterial SSU rRNA". It matches the Rfam family "Bacterial small subunit ribosomal RNA", at positions 30 to 507 of the family's 1533-position model. The record is from RNAcentral.
UAUUGAACGCUGGGCGGCAGGCCUAACACAUGCAAGUCGAGCGGUAGAGAGGUGCUUGCAUCUCUUGAGAGCGACGGACGGGUGAGUAAUGCCUAGGAAUCUGCCUAGUGGUGGGGGAUAACGUUCGGAAACGGACGCUAAUACCGCAUACGUCCUACGGGAGAAAGCGGGGGAUCUUCGGACCUCGCGCCAUUAGAUGAGCCUAGGUCGGAUUAGCUAGUUGGUGAGGUAAUGGCUCACCAAGGCGACGAUCCGUAACUGGUCUGAGAGGAUGAUCAGUCACACUGGAACUGAGACACGGUCCAGACUCCUACGGGAGGCAGCAGUGGGGAAUAUUGGACAAUGGGCGAAAGCCUGAUCCAGCCAUGCCGCGUGUGUGAAGAAGGUCUUCGGAUUGUAAAGCACUUUAAGUUGGGAGGAAGGGUAGUAACCUAAUACGUUGCUACUUUGACGUUACCGACAGAAUAAGCACCGGCUAACUUCGUG